AACGAACGCUGGCGGCGCGCCUAAUACAUGCAAGUCGAGCGAGAAGACGUAGCAAUACGUUUGUAAAGCGGCGAACGGGUGAGGAAUACAUGGGUAACCUACCCUCGAGUGGGGAAUAACUAGCCGAAAGGUUAGCUAAUACCGCGUACGCUCCUUGGACUUCGGUUCAGGGAGGAAAGCGAUACCGUGGGUAUCGCGCUCUUGGAUGGGCUCAUGUCCUAUCAGCUUGUUGGUGAGGUAACGGCUCACCAAGGCUUCGACGGGUAGCUGGUCUGAGAGGACGAUCAGCCACACUGGCACUGCGACACGGGCCAGGACUCCUACGGGAGGCAGCAGUAAGGAAUAUUGCGCAAUGGGCGAAAGCCUGACGCAGCGACGCCGCGUGGGGGA
RNAcentral lists this ribosomal RNA (390 nucleotides) under uncultured bacterium. RNAcentral describes it as "bacterial SSU rRNA". It matches the Rfam family "Bacterial small subunit ribosomal RNA", at positions 29 to 408 of the family's 1533-position model. The record is from RNAcentral.